Megachile rotundata (alfalfa leafcutting bee) is the source of this 418-nucleotide long non-coding RNA. The record is from RefSeq and is a predicted model, not a curated record. Lineage: Eukaryota; Metazoa; Arthropoda; Insecta; Hymenoptera; Megachilidae.
GUGUGAAAUGAAUAAAUAUUACUCGCAACAGUGUGUUUGCAAGAGGUAAGGUGUUUUAAUGUGAACUAUGGAGACUAUGUGUGAUAUUACAGAAAUGCUAUUGAAUACAAUGUUACGGAAUCAGUAUAGAAUGUUCGAUGAUGCAGAAUCGGAGGCUCGACUGAUUAUAUCUGUUUUGACGCCCUUCCGCAGUAUAUAUAAACUUUUCGGAGAAGGCGUAACUCCUUACACAGUUGAGGGUGGAGUUAUUUUCCUCGCAGAGUCCUCCCAUUUUCGACGGGGGAAAGAGUAUUGUAAAUUAGAAUUUGAGAGUCGAAAAUGUCCUUCCGGACCGCGCUGACCAUGUGGCCUAAUGAACCGUAACGGGACAUGGCUGGCAGCGUUUAUGGUAGGGUAGUCUAUUGAGCUACGCACGUCC